RNAcentral lists this small RNA (27 nucleotides) under Arabidopsis thaliana (thale cress). RNAcentral's name for it is "ATSL080820". The record is from RNAcentral. Lineage: Eukaryota; Viridiplantae; Streptophyta; Magnoliopsida; Brassicales; Brassicaceae.
CAAGAGAAGCGGCGUUGGACUUGGCGU